RNAcentral lists this ribosomal RNA (584 nucleotides) under uncultured crenarchaeote. Its description in RNAcentral is "bacterial SSU rRNA". It matches the Rfam family "Archaeal small subunit ribosomal RNA", at positions 1 to 921 of the family's 1478-position model. The record is from RNAcentral. Lineage: Archaea; Thermoproteati; Thermoproteota.
UUUCCGGUUGAUCCUGCCGGAAUUGGAGUCAACGCCGGGGUUAAUCCGAGUGUUUCCUGCUAAAGGAAUCUUUUGUUAGUUAUAAAACCACUAACGAAUAAGGGGUGGGCAAGUUCUGGUGUCAGCCGCCGCGGUAAAACCAGCACCUCAAGUGGUCAGGAGGAUUAUUGGGCCUAAAGCAUCCGUAGCCUGUUCUAUAAGUUUCCGGUUAAAUCCAUUAGCUCAACUAAUGGGCCGCCGAAAAUACUGUAGAACUAGGGAGUGGGAGAGGUAGACGGUAUUCGGUAGGAAGGGGUAAAAUCCUUUGAUCUAUUGAGGACCACCUGUGGCGAAGGCGGUCUACCAGAACACGUUCGACGGUGAGGGAUGAAAGCUGGGGGAGCAAACCGGAUUAGAUACCCGGGUAGUCCCAGCUGUAAACGAUGCAGACUCGGUGAUGCGCUGGCUUGUGGCCAGUGCAGUGCCGCAGGGAAGCCGUUAAGUUUGCCGCCUGGGAAGUACGUACGCAAGUAUGAAACUUAAAGGAAUUGGCGGGGGAGCACCACAAGGGGUGAAGCCUGCGGUUCAAUUGGAGUCAACGCCGG